CUAUACAUGCAGUCGAGCGGACAGAUGGGAGCUUGCUCCCUGAAGUCAGCGGCGGACGGGUGAGUAACACGUGGGCAACCUGCCUGUAAGACUGGGAUAACUCCGGGAAACCGGGGCUAAUACCGGAUAAUUCUUUCCCUCACAUGAGGGAAAGCUGAAAGAUGGUUUCGGCUAUCACUUACAGAUGGGCCCGCGGCGCAUUAGCUAGUUGGUGAGGUAACGGCUCACCAAGGCGACGAUGCGUAGCCGACCUGAGAGGGUGAUCGGCCACACUGGGACUGAGACACGGCCCAGACUCCUACGGGAGGCAGCAGUAGGGAAUCUUCCGCAAUGGACGAAAGUCUGACGGAGCAACGCCGCGUGAGUGAUGAAGGUUUUCGGAUCGUAAAACUCUGUUGUCAGGGAAGAACAAGUAUCGGAGUAACUGCCGGUACCUUGACGGUACCUGACCAGAAAGCCACGGCUAACUACGUGCCAGCAGCCGCGGUAAUACGUAGGUGGCAAGCGUUGUCCGGAAUUAUUGGGCGUAAAGCGCGCGCAGGCGGUUCCUUAAGUCUGAUGUGAAAGCCCACGGCUCAACCGUGGAGGGUCAUUGGAAACUGGGGAACUUGAGUGCAGAAGAGGAGAGUGGAAUUCCACGUGUAGCGGUGAAAUGCGUAGAGAUGUGGAGGAACACCAGUGGCGAAGGCGACUCUCUGGUCUGUAACUGACGCUGAGGCGCGAAAGCGUGAGGAGCAAACAGGAUUAGAUACUCUGGUAGUCCACGCCGUAAACGAUGAGUGCUAAGUGUUAGAGGGUUUCCGCCCUUUAGUGCUGCA
RNAcentral lists this ribosomal RNA (818 nucleotides) under Bacillus sp. CSu5_15. Its description in RNAcentral is "bacterial SSU rRNA". It matches the Rfam family "Bacterial small subunit ribosomal RNA", at positions 49 to 850 of the family's 1533-position model. Lineage: Bacteria; Bacillati; Bacillota; Bacilli; Caryophanales; Bacillaceae. The record is from RNAcentral.